RNAcentral lists this ribosomal RNA (484 nucleotides) under uncultured bacterium. Its description in RNAcentral is "bacterial SSU rRNA". It matches the Rfam family "Bacterial small subunit ribosomal RNA", at positions 8 to 518 of the family's 1533-position model. The record is from RNAcentral.
AGAGUUUGAUCCUGGCUUAGGAUGAACGCUGGCGGCGUGCCUAACACAUGCAAGUCGAGCGAUUCUCUUCGGAGAAGAGCGGCGGACGGGUGAGUAACGCGUGGGUAACCUGCCUCAUACACAUGGAUAACAUACCGAAAGGUAUGCUAAUACAGGAUAAUAUAAGAGAUUCACAUGGAUUUCUUAUCAAAGCUCCGGCGGUAUGAGAUGGACCCGCGUCUGAUUAGCUAGUUGGUAAGGUAACGGCUUACCAAGGCGACGAUCAGUAGCCGACCUGAGAGGGUGAUCGGCCACAUUGGAACUGAGACACGGUCCAAACUCCUACGGGAGGCAGCAGUGGGGAAUAUUGCACAAUGGGCGAAAGCCUGAUGCAAGCAACGCCGCGUGAGUGAUGAAGGCCUUCGGGUCGUAAAACUCUGUCCUCAAGGAAGAUAAUGACGGUACUUGAGGAGGAAGCCCCGGCUAACUACGUGCCAGCAGCAGC